Triticum aestivum (bread wheat) is the source of this 860-nucleotide long non-coding RNA. RefSeq lists it as uncharacterized. The transcript has 2 exons. The record is from RefSeq and is a predicted model, not a curated record. NCBI's taxonomy places the organism in Eukaryota, Viridiplantae, Streptophyta, Magnoliopsida, Poales, Poaceae.
CGCAUACACUGACACGAGGAUUCUUGAAGGCUGAAGAAGCUCUCAAGGCUAAUCGCAUGAAGAUCUGUAUGGCCGAAGACCGAAGACUGGUACACAAAGACUAGCCAAUUAUUCACCGAGAGACAAUGCCACGUGAAGAAAGCAAAGAUUCCUGAAGAUUGAAACUUGUCGGCACUCUCUCGCACUUUUCUAUAUUAUUAGAAGGACACGCGUAUACCCUAGUAGGACACGUGUGCAUGCUACCGUGGGUAAAAUAAGUGAAGGAAGGCUCCCGAAGGCCACCUUGCAGCCACCCCUCGCGGCUAUAAAAGGAGACGCUGGGCUCAAGAAGAGAACACAAGAGACGGGAGAGCACGGAGCACUCAAAGCAUCGAGACUCUCCACCAGAGCACCACUUCCUUCGUAGUCUAGCCACCACCACUACUAGUAGAAUAGCCAAGAAGGCGCUUAGUUCGCCAAGAGUUUGAAGGUGCCUGGCCGUAGAUGUGGUCUGGUGUCCCAAGCUUCUGCCUCGAGGUCGCCAUGCUUCACCAAGAAUCAUGACGGUGCUGCCUUAUGCUCGCCAUGCACAGAACUGGGGUCGUGAGGAGGAAGACAAGGCCACGCAUGAGAAAAUUCAAGAUGGAGGUGGCACCAAACAUAACUUGAGCCUGAUUUUUUUCCUAGCUUAGCGUUUUGCUUUCAUAGGUUUGGAGCUCUAAAUUUAAGCUUUUGCUCUGAAUCUUCAAUUGAUCCAUAGGUUUCUGAUCGUUCUGAACAAAUGCUUGAACUCUUUGUUGUUUGAUGUGAUUUUGGAAGUUCAUUAGACUUUGGAAAGUUGUUUGCUUUCCCUUAAUCAAUUUCUGAAUUUCCUCCCUUCU